RNAcentral lists this ribosomal RNA (301 nucleotides) under uncultured bacterium. Its description in RNAcentral is "partial 16S ribosomal RNA". It matches the Rfam family "Bacterial small subunit ribosomal RNA", at positions 509 to 809 of the family's 1533-position model. The record is from RNAcentral.
CAGUAGCCGCGGUAAUACGGAGGGGGCUAGCGUUGUUCGGAAUUACUGGGCGUAAAGCGCACGUAGGCGGCUUGGUAAGUUAGAGGUGAAAGCCCGGGGCUCAACUCCGGAAUUGCCUUUAAGACUGCCGAGCUAGUAGGUGAGAGAGGUAAGUGGAAUUCCGAGUGUAGAGGUGAAAUUCGUAGAUAUUCGGAAGAACACCAGUGGCGAAGGCGGCUUACUGGCUCAUACUGGACGCUGAGGUGCGAAAGCGUGGGGAGCGAACAGGAUUAGAUACCCGCGUAGUCCCUGUCUCUUAUAU